CUUUAUCUUAGGCUGGCAAAUGAAUGUGUACUAGUUGGGGAAAAGGCAGACAUUGUAUUUACCAGAAACUCAUAAACCACCAGAAGCUAUGCAGAAAUAGCAGCUCAGAGAGGCAACUGACCUGCCCACAGCCCCAGGAACCAGGUCUAGAGGGACCCUGCUGUAUCUUUGCCUGAGAGAUGGAGCUGUCUGUUACCGGCACAGCCUGAAGGGGAAGAAGACCAUGGAGCUGCCUCACCUGCUAACUCUUCUCGAUUGAACCAGCUCUCCACUUGGGAAUUUGACUGCAACAUGCCUUCUCAGGACACCAGGCAUCCUAGCCUUAAGGAGGGCACAGGUACAUUUUCCUAGGCCAAAUUAAUAUGGAUUUUGAAUUACCUUCUAUUGUUCAGAAAGAUCCUUUCUGCAUUGGUGGCUUUGACAUUUCCCAGGCUGCAAGAGCCAUGGAUCUACUCUGACAGCUGCGUUGGAGAAGGUUCUGAAAGUCUUCUUUACAUCCCUAACCAGACAGGUCAUCAGGAAACUCCUCCAACAAGCGCUGAC
RNAcentral lists this long non-coding RNA (543 nucleotides) under Cercocebus atys (sooty mangabey). RNAcentral's name for it is "lncRNA (ENSCATG00000045767.1)". Lineage: Eukaryota; Metazoa; Chordata; Mammalia; Primates; Cercopithecidae. The record is from RNAcentral.